RNAcentral lists this ribosomal RNA (253 nucleotides) under uncultured bacterium. RNAcentral describes it as "partial 16S ribosomal RNA". It matches the Rfam family "Bacterial small subunit ribosomal RNA", at positions 524 to 776 of the family's 1533-position model. The record is from RNAcentral.
UACGUAGGGUGCGAGCGUUAAUCGGAAUUACUGGGCGUAAAGCGUGCGCAGGCGGCGCGUUAAGACAGGUGUGAAAGCCCCGAGCUUAACUUGGGAAUUGCGCUUGUGACUGGCGUGCUGGAGUGUGGCAGAGGGAGGUGGAAUUCCACGUGUAGCAGUGAAAUGCGUAGAGAUGUGGAGGAAUACCGAUGGCGAAGGCAGCCCCCUGGGCCAAUACUGACGCUCAUGCACGAAAGCGUGGGGAGCAAACAGG